UCGAUUCAUUUUUCUCAUUAUGAAUCAUCGUCAUUCCCCCUUUCUUUGGAACCAUUUGAACUGGACUUACCCAUUUACUAUCAGAGAUUGGAUAAAUGAUUCCUGCUUCUAAUAACUUCAACACUUCCUUUCUCACAACUUCCUUCAUAAUAGGAUUCAGUCUCCUCUACGGCUGAGCCACCGGCCCAUAAUCAUUCUCCAUAAGAAUUUUGUGCAUACAAUAUGUGGGGCUUAUACCCUUAAGAUCUGCAAUUGACCAGCCUAUAACACCCUUAUUUGCUUUUAAAACUUCCACCAACUUCUCUUCUUCUAGAGAUAAUGAAGUACUAAUAAUAACUGGCUUUCCACCAUUAUCUUCUAGAAAUACAUAUUUUAAAUGUGGUGGUAGCUCCUUCAAUUCAAGCUUAGUCUCUUUCACUUUCUCUUUGGGGUCAAUUUUUUCAAAACUAGCCUUCUCUGUUGACAUUUCCUUUGUUGCCUCCAAGUCACGAACGCAUUCUUCAAUCAUUUUAUCCUCCUCU
RNAcentral lists this long non-coding RNA (521 nucleotides) under Vigna radiata. Its description in RNAcentral is "long non-coding RNA (VRAD_LNC016170)". Lineage: Eukaryota; Viridiplantae; Streptophyta; Magnoliopsida; Fabales; Fabaceae. The record is from RNAcentral.